UAUUCAAAUUCUUUCUUUCUUUCUUCUUGAGUGAGUUUUGGUAUUUUGUGUCUUUCAAUAAAUUGUUCCCUUACUCCUAAUUUUUCAAAUUUGUGGGCAUAGAGUUGUUCAUAUUUUAUCCUUAUUUUCUUUCUAAUGUCUAGGUGUUGUCGGUGAAAUUGUAUCCCUGAUAAAGGCCCAUAGUUGGAAGGGACUUACCUUGUCCCAGAUGAGACUUUGGAUUGUGGACUUUUGAGUUAAUGCUGCAAUGAGUUAAGACUUUGGGGGACUAUUGAGAAGGCAUGAUUGGUUUUGAAAUCUGCAGACAUGAGAUUUGUCAGGAGCCAUGAGCAGAAUGAUAUGGUUUAGCUGUGUCCCCACCCAAAUCUCAUCUUGAAUUGUACUCCCAUAAUCCCCAAGUGUUGUGGGAGGCACCCGAUGGGAGAUAAUUGAAUUAUGGUGGUGGGUCUUUCCUGUGCUGUAAUCAUGAUAGUGAAUGAUUCUCAGGAGUUCUGAUGGUUUAUAAACUGUAGUUUCCCUGCACAAGCUCUCUUCUCUGUCUGCAGCCAUGUGAGACAUGACUUUCACCUUCCACCAUGAUUGUGAAGCCUCCCCAACCACAUGCAACUGCAAGUCCAUUACACCUCUUUCUUUUGUAAAUUGCCCAGUCUCAGGUAUGUCUUUAUCAGCAGCAUGAAAAUGGUCUAAUACAGGGUUGAACUCUGAGAUUUUAGUCUCUUUUAAUUUGUGAGUGGGAAAGAACUUCAUUGACAGCCUUUAAGAAGUAGACUUAAAUUAUAGGAGGAUACAAAUAGCUUUGCCUUCUCAUAAAAUGAAAUACACACACAAACACACAGACAAAAUUUUUCUAUAUCAAUAGAAACAAAAAACAAAGUCUUUCAAUAAAGUUUAAUGAAUAAAUAGGAGAUUAAGAUCUUUAGUUAAUGUAUAGCUAUCGCAAGUCAAUUUCAAAAAAAAAAGCUAAGUCUCUAUUUUGUAUAGAAGAACUCUUCCAAUUACAUUAGCACUAGCUUAAAAGAUUCCAAACUAGAGCAUUUAUUUUACCACAACUGGUUCUUACCAGACAUAACAGAUAAAGAACCAUGAAUUCUUGUGACCUCAGUGUGCCAAACUCUUUCUGGACCUAACCGUAGACACAAUCUUGACCAAUCAACAAUGGUACUUGUUUUAACCAGGUGGAUACAGGCCUAUGGACUCAUUCUUAUGUGGUUAGAAUAUUUUCUUUUUAUUCUUAAUGAGUCACUUCCUUUCUUUUUAGCAUAUACAAGCCCUUUAACAUUUUUCCUAGCAAUCUGGUCAGUGGAUUUCUUCACUGUUACAUGUCCCCUUGUCUGGCAAGAGGAAAGUGUUUUUAUCUUUAUAUUGCAAUCUAAAUGAGCAAAAACCAGUAUAUGUUUCAAGAAAACGUUAAAUACCAAUGACAUACAAAUUUAGCUAAACUACACAUUUACUGAUAAUGAAGUAAAUAAAAACAAAAUAAGAAUAAUUUUAUAUUCGCUCAAGAAUUUGUUAUUAUAUGGGGGAUGAGAGUAUAUGGAAGUGAAUAAAAAUAUAGAGUAACUGUCUUUAAGUAUUUGAUUGUAUUUUUAAACACUGAAAAACAAUACAAAUCUAAAGUAUGGUAAAAUAGGUGCUAUCACAUACAACUUCAUAUAUACAUUGAUGCAACAAUUUUGAAAAGUAGUUUGGUAGGAUACAACAAUAGCUAUAACAUGUGCAUAUUCAACAAUUUUACCACUUGAGCCUCCAUCUUGAGAAACUUUAUAUUAAAAAUUAUUUGCAAAAUUUUUGUAUGCUUACUUAUAAUGAAGAAUUAGAAAUAAUCAAAAGAUACAGUGAAGGAACUGCAAAAUAGAUUAUGCCAAAUCUGUGUAAACUACAUUAUGAAAUACCAAAAAAGAUGCUUAUGUAAUAUCUACCAAAAUAUAAUAAAUGACUCAAAAUAAAUGAUACUUAUAAGAAAACAAAAUUAAAAAUUGUAUAGUAAUAUAACCUUAUUUGUGUAAAAUAUGCUGAGAAAAAGUGGAUGUUAAUAAAUAACAAUAUUUAAAAUUAUUUGUCUUUAGGUGAUCCUUUUCUUUAUAUUUUUCUAUAUCACACAUUUUCCAAAAUAAGAACAUUUUCCUUUCUAAAAUUUUUUUCAACUUUGCUGUUUCUAUGUCAUUUUGUUUUGACACUGAAAUGUUAGGUUAUCAGGAAUUAGAAAGACUUUGAAGUAAUUUAUUUUACUUUUUUUUCUUUUUAGAAAUUCUGUGGCGUAACAAGUUGCUGUCACACUGGCUUUUUAAAAUAUAUGUAUAUAUUUGAAAUACACAUGCACACAACUAAGUUAGAUUCGUCCACCGUUACUAAUAGAAAACUACAAUGUAGUGGCUUAAAAGGAGAAGGAAUUCUGUUUCUCAUGGUUCAGUGUGAAUGAGUGCAGUAUUCAAAAACAUGAAGUCAGAGUCCAGUACUCAAGUUCUGUAUCACUGAACAUCCUGUGGAAGGCCACCAGUCAAAGAGCAGCAAGAGCACACCUAAAUUAGGAUUAUUAGCUUGCUUCAGCUAAGGAGAAAGUUCUUCAUGAGAGCCAUCUAACCUCUUGGAAUCAGUUCAAUAAGUGGUUAUCUCGGGAAGUUUUAUUAAGAGUCAGAAGAAAUGAAGCUAGGCUGGGCAUGUCUUUGCUCAGAAGAAAAAAUUGUUACCAUCUUGCAUUAGCUUUGUGGUCUUUUUGAAUAAUAAUUAUAUUACCAAAACUAGAGAGAAAAAGUAAAAGAUCUAUAGCAUUGCUAACAUCUACUGUAUGUAAUUUGUUAUAUUUUUUAUUAUGUAUAAUAAAUGCUAUUCAGGCUCUUCUCAAUAUUACAUGCUUACAUUUCAGCUAAGAAAAUGGUAAAUUGUAUUCCAUAGACAUAUAACUUGUAGAAAAAUCAUUAAUUUAAAAAGAGCCAUAGCCAGGCACUGUGGCUUAUACCUAUAAUCCUAGCUAUUCACGCUGUCUAGAUGGGAGCAUCCCUUGAGUCCAGUAGUUCCAGGCUGCAGUGAGCUAUGAUCCUGCCACUACACUGCAGCCUGGGAAACAGAGGGAGUUCCCCAUCUCUUGAAAAAAAAAGCGGCAUCCAUAUUCUAAGUAUAAAUUAUUAUUAUUUGUCUAGGUUUUGCCAAUGCACUUUAUUAUAUAAUAUUAAGUAUUGAUUAAACUUACAUAUGGUAUACAAUUAGCUAUUUCUUUCCUAAAUGUAAGAAAUCUUCUUAUGUUUUUAUGUUUUUAAGAAGAGGAAAACUAACCUGAAUCUUAAACACAUUUCAUGUAUGAUACACUUCCUAUAUUACUCUUAUAAGACAAAGACAAUAUCAAAUAAAGAAAAUCUUGACAAUUAUGUAGUCAUAAGCUUUUAAACAAGAACCAAAUAGAUACUAGAUGAAUUUUCUCCUUUGGAUAUAAAAAAAAAUACUGAAGAUGUAGUCAUUUCGGGCAGCUGCAUUCCAUAUUUAGGGAAAGUUAUACAGUUUUUUUUUCAAAAAAAUAUUAAAUAUUAUUAAGAUAUUGAAAGAAAAUGAGAUAUGUUAUGCAUGUUCCUAGUAUAUCCCACACUAAUAAACACAUUUUUACAAAACUUUAUAAUAUAAUAGAUAUGUAAUGAUGUAUUUAUAUAAUGUGAUUGUUUUCUAAAAGCAGUAAAACAACAAAAUAUUCAAAGUCUAUUUAUAUAUAUUAAUAUUAUGUUUUGUAAAUUUUUUCUUCUAAUUGAACUUUUAAAACAGUUUUAAAGUACUGUCAGAAACUUAUGGUGAUGACUUUGAAAAAUAAAGGAUAAUAUAGGAAAUGACUAGUUA
RNAcentral lists this long non-coding RNA (3819 nucleotides) under Homo sapiens (human). Its description in RNAcentral is "HSALNT0374325". The record is from RNAcentral. Lineage: Eukaryota; Metazoa; Chordata; Mammalia; Primates; Hominidae.